UAUACAUGCAGUCGUACGCUUCUUUUUCCACCGGAGCUUGCUCCACCGGAAAAAGAAGAGUGGCGAACGGGUGAGUAACACGUGGGUAACCUGCCCAUCAGAAGGGGAUAACACUUGGAAACAGGUGCUAAUACCGUAUAACAAUCGAAACCGCAGGUUUUGAUUUGAAAGGCGCUUUCGGGUGUCGCUGAUGGAUGGACCCGCGGUGCAUUAGCUAGUUGGUGAGGUAACGGCUCACCAAGGCCACGAUGCAUAGCCGACCUGAGAGGGUGAUCGGCCACAUUGGGACUGAGACACGGCCCAAACUCCUACGGGAGGCAGCAGUAGGGAAUCUUCGGCAAUGGACGAAAGUCUGACCGAGCAACGCCGCGUGAGUGAAGAAGGUUUUCGGAUCGUAAAACUCUGUUGUUAGAGAAGAACAAGGAUGAGAGUAACUGUUCAUCCCUUGACGGUAUCUAACCAGAAAGCCACGGCUAACUACGUGCCAGCAGCCGCGGUAAUACGUAGGUGGCAAGCGUUGUCCGGAUUUAUUGGGCGUAAAGCGAGCGCAGGCGGUUUCUUAAGUCUGAUGUGAAAGCCCCCGGCUCAACCGGGGAGGGUCAUUGGAAACUGGGAGACUUGAGUGCAGAAGAGGAGAGUGGAAUUCCAUGUGUAGCGGUGAAAUGCGUAGAUAUAUGGAGGAACACCAGUGGCGAAGGCGGCUCUCUGGUCUGUAACUGACGCUGAGGCUCGAAAGCGUGGGGAGCAAACAGGAUUAGAUACCCUGGUAGUCCACGCCGUAGACGAUGAGUGCUAAGUGUUGGAGGGUUUCCGCCCUUCAGUGCUGCAGCUAACGCAUUAAGCACUCCGCCUGGC
Molecule: ribosomal RNA, 855 nt
Filed under: Enterococcus faecium
Lineage: Bacteria; Bacillati; Bacillota; Bacilli; Lactobacillales; Enterococcaceae
Description: bacterial SSU rRNA
Rfam family: Bacterial small subunit ribosomal RNA
Source: RNAcentral